RNAcentral lists this transfer RNA (75 nucleotides) under Acidomonas methanolica. RNAcentral describes it as "tRNA-Gln". It matches the Rfam family "tRNA". From Rfam's summary of the family: Transfer RNA (tRNA) molecules are approximately 80 nucleotides in length. Their secondary structure includes four short double-helical elements and three loops (D, anti-codon, and T loops). Further hydrogen bonds mediate the characteristic L-shaped molecular structure. tRNAs have two regions of fundamental functional importance: the anti-codon, which is responsible for specific mRNA codon recognition, and the 3' end, to which the tRNAs corresponding amino acid is attached (by aminoacyl-tRNA synthetases). tRNAs cope with the degeneracy of the genetic code in two manners: having more than one tRNA (with a specific anti-codon) for a particular amino acid; and 'wobble' base-pairing, i.e. permitting non-standard base-pairing at the 3rd anti-codon position. Lineage: Bacteria; Pseudomonadati; Pseudomonadota; Alphaproteobacteria; Acetobacterales; Acetobacteraceae. The record is from RNAcentral. RNAcentral also lists the same sequence under 2 other names.
UGGGGCGUAGCCAAGCGGCAAGGCAGCGGAUUUUGAUUCCGCCAUGCGGAGGUUCGAAUCCUCCCGCCCCAGCCA